Molecule: ribosomal RNA, 465 nt
Filed under: Carduiceps meinertzhageni
Lineage: Eukaryota; Metazoa; Arthropoda; Insecta; Psocodea; Philopteridae
Description: partial 16S ribosomal RNA
Rfam family: Bacterial large subunit ribosomal RNA
Source: RNAcentral
GUCGGGCCUGCUCCCUGCUCAAAGUAAAUAGCUGCAGUAUAAAUGACUGUACUAAGGUAGCAUAAUAAUUUGUCUUUUAAAUGAAGACUGGCAUGAACGGUCUGACGAGGAUUCAUCUGUCUCAAUUAUACUAAUCGAACUUAGAAUGAUGGUGAAAAUCCCUUCAUGAAGGAGGGGGACGACAAGACCCUUUAGAUCUAAAAAAAGGAGAAAAUUAAAUAUUAGAUUAAAUUUUAUUUCUUACAUUUGUUUGGGAAGAACCUUUGAUGAAAACUUCAGAUUAAAAAAAGAUCAGUAAAUCGAAAAAAAAAAAAUGGAUUAGAUCAAUAAUCUAAGAUUAGAAACUUAGAUACCUAAGGGAUAACAGCGUUAUCUGGUAUUCUAGACCGUAUAUUAUACUACGCUUGCGACCUCGAUGUUGAAUUAGGUUAAAAUAUUAAAGAAGAAAAUAAUAAUUUUUAGUCU